AUGCAACCGUACCAAACGACAGCUUUUGUUCUUAAGCAAGCAAUCAAGCUCACCACCAAGUACUAUGGCCCUUAUAGAAUCUUGCAGAGGAUUGGUCAUGUCGCAUACAAGCUGCAGAUGCCUCCGAAUGUGGGAAUUCACCCAUUUUUCCAUGCAAGUCAACUAAAGAAACACAUGGGAACACAUGCAGUCCCAAGUCCAGAUCUGCCUCUAGUUGGACCAGAUGGCAAAAUCAAGACUGAACCACUCGGAGUACUUGAAACACGUUCUUUGCCCAGAAUUGGAGUUCUUGUUACCCAAUGGCUCGUCGAAUGGGAGAAUCUUACACUAGAGGAAGCUACCUGGGAGGACGCCAACUUCAUGAAACAGGUCUUCCCAGCCUUCUACACAAGCACGAUCAAAAGUUGGUUCCCAGACAAACAUACUUGA
Molecule: ribosomal RNA, 429 nt
Filed under: Triticum aestivum (bread wheat)
Lineage: Eukaryota; Viridiplantae; Streptophyta; Magnoliopsida; Poales; Poaceae
Description: partial small subunit ribosomal RNA
Source: RNAcentral